Molecule: ribosomal RNA, 253 nt
Filed under: uncultured bacterium
Lineage: Bacteria
Description: partial 16S ribosomal RNA
Rfam family: Bacterial small subunit ribosomal RNA
Source: RNAcentral
UACAGAGGGUGCAAGCGUUAAUCGGAAUUACUGGGCGUAAAGCGGGCGUAGUCGGCUUUUCAAGUCGGGUGUGAAAGCCCCGGGCUCAACCUGGGAAUUGCAUUCGAUACUUGAUGGCUAGAGUUCGGCAGAGGGAAGUGGAAUUUCCGGUGUAGCGGUGAAAUGCGUAGAUAUCGGAAGGAACAUCAGUGGCGAAAGCUACUUCCUGGACCAGAACUUACGAUCAGGCACGAAAGCGUGGGGAGCAAACAGG